UUAGGAAUAUUGGGCAAUGGAGGAAACUCUGACCCAGCAACGCCGCGUGAAGGAAGAAGGUUUUCGGACUGUAAACUUCUGAUCUAAGGGAAAAAGAAAGUGAUGGUACCUUAGGAGAAAGCCACGGCUAACUACGUGCCAGCAGCCGCGGUAAUACGUAGGUGGCGAGCGUUGUCCGGAAUUACUGGGCGUAAAGGGAGCGUAGGUGGUGAAUUAAGUCAAAUGUGAAAGCCCGAGGCUCAACUUCGGAACUGCAUUUGAUACUGGUUUACUAGAGUACAGGAGGGGUAAGCGGAAUUUCUAGUGUAGCGGUGGAAUGCUUAGAUAUUAGGAAGAACACCAGAGGCGAAGGCGGCUUACUGGACUGCAACUGACACUGAGGCUCGAAAGCGUGGGGAGCAAACAGG
This 407-nucleotide ribosomal RNA is filed under the name uncultured bacterium. RNAcentral's name for it is "bacterial SSU rRNA". It matches the Rfam family "Bacterial small subunit ribosomal RNA", at positions 355 to 776 of the family's 1533-position model. The record is from RNAcentral.